AACGAACGCUGGCGGCAGGCCUAACACAUGCAAGUCGAACGCCGUAGCAAUACGGAGUGGCAGACGGGUGAGUAACACGUGGGAACAUACCCUUCGGUUCGGAAUAACUCAGGGAAACUUGAGCUAAUACCGGAUACGUCCGCGAGGAGAAAGAUUCAUCGCCGGAGGAUUGGCCCGCGUCUGAUUAGCUUGUUGGUGAGGCAAUGGCUCACCAAGGCGACGAUCAGAGCUGGUCUGAGAGGAUGAUCAGCCACAUUGGGACUGAGACACGGCCCAAACUCCUACGGGAGGCAGCAGUGGGGAAUAUUGGACAAUGGGCGCAAGCCUGAUCCAGCCAUGCCGCGUGAGUGAUGAAGGCCCUAGGGUUGUAAAGCUCCUUUACCCGGGAAGAUAAUGACUGUACCGGGAGAAUAAGCCCCGGCUAACUUCGUGCCAGCCGCCGCGGUAAU
Molecule: ribosomal RNA, 449 nt
Filed under: uncultured bacterium
Lineage: Bacteria
Description: bacterial SSU rRNA
Rfam family: Bacterial small subunit ribosomal RNA
Source: RNAcentral